Molecule: ribosomal RNA, 382 nt
Filed under: uncultured bacterium
Lineage: Bacteria
Description: bacterial SSU rRNA
Rfam family: Bacterial small subunit ribosomal RNA
Source: RNAcentral
UGCAGUAGAACGCUGAAGGAGGAGCUUGCUUCUCUGGAUGAGUUGCGAACGGGUGAGUAACGCGUAGGUAACCUGCCUGGUAGCGGGGGAUAACUAUUGGAAACGAUAGCUAAUACCGCAUAAGAGUAGAUGUUGCAUGACAUUUGCUUAAAAGGUGCAAUUGCAUCACUACCAGAUGGACCUGCGUUGUAUUAGCUAGUUGGUGGGGUAACGGCUCACCAAGGCGACGAUACAUAGCCGACCUGAGAGGGUGAUCGGCCACACUGGGACUGAGACACGGCCCAGACUCCUACGGGAGGCAGCAGUAGGGAAUCUUCGGCAAUGGACGGAAGUCUGACCGAGCAACGCCGCGUGAGUGAAGAAGGCCUUCGGGUUGUAAAGC